UAAGCCAGACGUGAUCGACUGACCGAUCUCCUGUAUUUGUCGAGUGUUCUUCUUGUUGGUUGCUGGGGCUGUUCUGGCCUGUACAAUGGUGGCACCACAACAACCGUUUUGGUGGUGGUCUGGGCAGGUGCUAGACUGUUUGUUAGCCAUUUGAUGUGAUGGCCCUGCACUCCUACCUGGUUGGUGUGCUUGACUCUUGGUGUUCUUGACCUGUAGUCUCUUAGUUGCCGGUCAUGUACAAUAGCUGCUUGGUUAUAUGACUCUGUUCCUUUCUUAGGUAGCUAGCCCUGACUGUAAUUUGCAGCAUGCAUACUUGUCCGUGUUCUGUUCCUUGCAUUUUAUCCAUGUAAAACUGUUGUAUUCUUGUGGAUUUCUUGCUUGCGCCGUCUGCAUUUCAUCAUGCCUUUUCUCACCAUGUGACAAAUUGUUUUGAGCUAGUAUUGUUUUUAAUGUGGCUGUAGUAUGCGAAAAAUCCCUUUUGGAGGCCGAGCUCCAAUGAGGCUAGCUUUUGAAAAAUUCAAAAUUCAUUAAAAUUCAUUCAUAUUUUUACAUUUCAAAAAAUUCUAAAGAAAAGAUAUACACGGAGAUAUAUUGCACAAGUGUGUAAAUUUUAAGGAUGAAAUUCGUUGGAAUGAGGGCUGUGCAAAAAAGACAAAUUUAGAACUUUUUAGCACAUGAUACAUCCUCAUAGGUCAUAAAUUUGUCUUUUUGUGCAGAUUGCAUUUUAAGGUAUUUCAUCCUGAAAAUUUACGCAUAUAUGCAUAACAUCCUCGUUUACUUGUACAUUUCUUUUUCUUGAAACUGAAAGUUUGAUUUGUUUUCUUCAAAAAAAUGGCCUCGAUGGAUGCGAGAGCCAAAAUGCCACACUCCUGUGGUAUGCCCUUUUGAAGUUGAUGGAAGUUCUGGCUCUAUGUUGAACAGGGAAAGGUGCCGGGUGUGAAAAUGAUGGAAAUCGCCAAAGAGAGUGGUGAAGUUUUUUACCCGGGUUCCAAUGAUCUCUGACAUUGGCUGGAUAAAUAAAGUUUGAAGGGACUUCUCGAGUAGGUAAUCUGUUUUAUCAGUCUCCACCAAAGAGAGUGGUGAAGUUUUUUACCCGGGUUACAGUGAUAUCUUGCUUGGGCUUCUCGAGGAGCUAAUCUGUUUUAUCAGACUCCACCAAUAAGUUGCAAUGACAACAACUAGCUUAGCAAUAAAUUGCUUAAUUAGUGACCAACAUGUUAGAUACUAUGUAGUACUCCCUCCGUAAACUAAUAUAAGAGCGUUUAGAAUACUAAAAUAGUGAUCUAAACGCUCUUAUAUUAGUUUACAGAGGGAGUAGUAACGUGUCAGGAAUAGAAUGAUUGGUUGCAGCAAGGAUUUCAGUUUAUAAUAAACCAUGGUGAGCAAAACGAGGCUGCUUUAGAGAAAGGGCAAAGAAAAAGCAUGUGCAUUCCAUCCUCUGUAUUAUCACACCCAAAGCAGUUUUCAGUAAUGCGUUAGAGAAUUUACUUGCUCUCUUACCCUUAGAAAGCGCUUUACUAAGAAGCCUCCAAGCAAAUGUCUGUACCCAUGGCGCCAUGAAUUUGUCUUGCCAAACUUGGUUUAGAAGAGCAAUGUUUUGUGGAUGAACCGCUUUGGGUUGUUAUCUAGCCGAUAGCUCAAGGUUGUUGAAGCAAUGUUUAUAUGCACUUUUCGAUGAGAAAUUGCAUGCAAGUGUUAGUUUCCAAUUCAAAGCAUCUUGCACAACAUCAGAGUCAAAAGAAUAUUACUAGCUAUCUCAGGAGUGAACGGGGAGUUAUUGUAUCAACAUUCCAAGCUUUUUGAUCUGGCAACCAAAGAUCUUUAACAAUAGCGGAACAUCAUAACAUCAUCAAUGUAUAGAGGCAACCAUGGUAGUGCAACUAAGGCAGGAUCUAAUGGCUUGCCACUAACAAAAUGAAGAAGCUUAUUGGAUGCGUUUGGUAGACUGCACCUUUUUUUGCCCCAUUGCAUGUUGACUCAACUGAACAGUUUAUGCCUGCUAUUUUGUGGCCUGCAUUUAUGCUUCAGGGUGAGCAGAUGCAAACUACAACAGUUUGGUUGUGUGCACUGUGUUGUUCUGCUCACCCCUUUCAAAUGUGGUGUGCUUAUCCACCAAUUGGACUACACUUCACAACAACACAUCACGUAUCAAGCAGGAACACAAUUAAAAUACCACGCCUACUCAUUAUUAGCAUGCAACUACAUAGUUCACGGUGCAACUAGAACAUCAAUUUAACACAACAGGGGCAUCACAUGCCCCUAGACAACCCCAAGAUGCUGAUCCCUAGGCAGAAUGUACACCUGACAACAAAAGAUCAAAGUUCACACAUACACGCUUUAGAUAGACGGUUCGAGCAAGAAGAAGAGCACGAGCAAUGUCACCCUAGCAGCAGUGCUUGGUGCACCUGACCUUGCAGAUGGUGGAGUUGCCGGCGAUUUAGAUAUUGACCUUCAAGCCCAGGCCCAACAGCUUCAAGACUAACAGACCACAGAGGGCGAUGAUGUGCUUUUAACAAAAGUAGUUCCAACCCCUCCCCAGCAACAUCUGCUCGUGGAAGAUCUGCACAUAGACCCAAAACUCGCACCAUUUGUUUGCUAAGAGCUUGACAAUGCAAGGAGGUUUUAGGACGAGCCAUCGUUUCAUCAGGGGCAGAGUCGAGGAUGACAAAAAUGGCAAUGUCCUUGACGUUCUUGAUGGACACAUAGACUUCAGUGGCUCGCGUGUCCCCUCCUCAUGGCCAAGCCUAGACAUGCGGCCAAUCCCUAGCGACUUGCUCAUCUCAGCUAGUUUGCCCAACACCAUCACUGUUUUCUGCAAACCGAUUCACCCGCAUGAUGUACUUGUCCCCUCGGCGCCAUUAACGACCAGCCUGGUGGGGGCCAACGAUGCUGAUAGGCGGCCCAACCUUGCCCGUCAUGGACCCCUGAGGUAAACUGCCCGGGUGCACGCUGUCCGGGCAUAUCAGACACGCAGAGAGCUGUAGGGAGCCACCCGCAUCACGCCGAUGCCAGGACACGCUAAAGCCCUCCUCGCGCAUGGAGACUCCCAGGAGACAGGUACUCCAUUAUCCUUUGUAGGAGUAAUGAGACACUUACGAUUUGAAUCCUCCCAUUUAGCCUUAACAUCACAGUCCCUCAUAAUCUCCAUCACCUUCUUUAGGUGCUUCAGGAGGACCAUUAAGGAGAACAUAAUCAAUAUUCAGCAAGGCAAAAGUAAUCUCAAGCUUUUGCUUCCAUGUAGCAUAGUUGCUACCAUAUAAUUGGUCUAUAUUGUUAAGCAUUCCAGCAAUAUGAGAGGCAUUAGAUGCUGCAAAAAGAAUCAAUGUUUUAAUGAGCAUCAUCAUCAUCAACUUGUUUUAGUGACCAAAUUCAAAUAAGCUUUGACCCGAAAUGAGUAUGAACAAAAAAAAUGUGGACAAGUAUUUAUUAAUCAGCUUUGGCCAGAGUAAUAAAUAGAAGCCACAUUUUAUUAAAUCCUUAUGUAUAAACUUCUUUUAUCAAUCUUGUUCAUAUCAGCUUUGGCCAGAAAUGGGCAUAAUUAAUAAAGUUUUAUGAUGCUCGUCAUUUUUUUUGUGGGUGGAGAACGUUAAUUUUACAGUGGAAACAACCUAACAUAACAACAGUCCUAAUAAAAUGCCACAAAAGAAUCAAGAAAUAAUAAUAAAUGCAUUCAUAUAAUCAGACAUGGCACGUAAAAGCAUGAGGAACAGUAAGAUGUAAAGGAAUUAUGUAACAUUUUUAACAAGCAUAACCAAACAUGCAAAAGUUAAGCCCUGAAACUUAUUUAUUUUAGUUCAGAAGAAUAAACUUAAAAUAAAAAAGACUUUAGAUUAUUCUCAGUGAAUCUCAGCCUAUGUACAUAUUCAGGCCAUUACAUGAAAACAUGCAAAGGUCACUCCCACAUUUUCAGUUUUGCGCCACUUGUCAUACCCAGAGAGUUUUCUCUUUUUUCAUAGAUUCGAAUAUGUAUACACCCAAAUCCCGAACCAUCUUCACCGUUGGAUUACUAGCAUCGAGAUCAUCAAACUAGAUCCCAUGUUAAUAUGUUUCGACGAUCUAUUUUUCUCUGCAAAUAAACCGAAAGAAAAACUGUGCCUCCCGCGAAAAAAUAACGUGUUUUUCCCUUUCAGAGAGGCACACCUCUCGUGUAUGCAAACCUGUGCAUCCACGAGAAGCAGAUCCGUUACUCUCGCGGAAGAAAAAAAACACGUUUUUCUUUUUCUUUUUCGAGAGGCACAGCUGUGCCUCUUGCAGAAGCAAAACUGUGCCUCCAUGAGAUGCAAGUGUGUGCCUCUCGCGGAAGAACAACAAUGUUUUUUUCUCUUUCCGAGAGGCCUCCACGAGAAACAAAUCUGUACCUCUCGCGGAAGAAAAAAUAUUAUAUUUUUCCUUUUUUGGUGAGGCACAUUGGGCUUCCCUUGGAAGCAAAUAUGUGCUAUUUGUGGAACCAAAAACACCAUUUUUCACGCAAUUAUUUGUCCAAAAUCUAGAGAAAACCAGGGAAAAACUGGAAAAUAAAAACCAUCUAAAACCAGAAAACGCGUACAGAAAAAUAAAAAACACAAAAUCCUGAGGAGGUGCCCAACAUUCGAUAUGUGACGGCGGCUGAGAGCAUGCAAAUGGGCACGCUCUCAAACCGCCAAAACUGACUCUUGACAAGCUCCCGCAAGGGGUAUACCUCAAUUAGUUGCUCUCCCUAUGUCUCGCUUCUAGCGAGACGUAGGGAACCCUCACGUCAAGCCUAGCGCGACAUGGGCUGGCGCAGUGCGCAGAAGUGCACUGCCACGUUUUAUUUCUGCUUUUUCUUUCACUUUUUUGUUUUCAUUUUUUCAUUUAUUUUUUACUUUUGUUUACAUUUCCAAAUGUUAUAAACAUAUAUAUUCAAAAGUAUACUUUACAUAAUGUUUUGAAAAAUAUAAAUCAUGCAUUUGAAAAAAUGUUAAAUAUGUAUGGAGAAAAUGUUGACCAUGUAUAUGAAAAAUGUAUACAAAAAAUAUAGAUCAUGUAUUUAAAAAAUGUUAGUCAAGCAUUUGAAAAAUAGUUAAACAAGUAUAUAAAAAAUGUUAAUAAAUAUUUCAAAAAUAUUAAAUGUGUAUAGAAAAAUGCUGAUCAAAUAUUUAAUUAAUAUUAAUCUUGUGUUUGAAAUUUUUUAAUCAAGCAUGUGUAAAAUGUUAGAUGUGUAUAGGAAAAAUGUUGACCACAUAUUCAAGGAAUGCUAAAUGUGUAUAGAUAUUUUUUGAUCACUUAUUUAUAUAACGUUAAUAUUGUAUUAAAAAAUGUUAAUACAUAGAAAAAAUGCUGAUCAUUUAUGAACAAAAUGUUAAUCCUGUAUAAUAAACAUGUUAAUAAAAUUAUUUAAAAAAUCAACUGUGUUUAAUAAAUAUUAAUUGUUGAUUAAAAAUGUUAAUUUUGUAUUUGCAUAAUAUUGAAGAUGUAACAGAAAAUUGUACUAUCUAUAUUUUAAAACAUAAGUCAUUUUGGUAGGCUAUUUUAGCCAAAUAAAUAUCUUAUAUUUUAAAACGGAGGUAGUAUUAGACUUAGGCCAGAAAUAUACUCCCUCUGUUCCUAAAUAUAAGUCAUUUUAGAUAUUUCAAAUGGACUACAACAAACGGAUGUAUGUAGACAUAUUUUAAAGCAUUGAUUCACUCAUUUUACUUCGUAUGUAGUUACUUAUUGAAAUAUAUAGAAAGACUUAUAUUUGGAAAUGGAGGGACUAUAAUAUGUAUGAGAAAAAAUUAGACAUCAAAAAAUGUUUCAAAUGUAUACCAAAAGUGUUAAUAAUAUAUUUAAUUUUUAACCUGUAUAUAAAAUAGUUUUCAGAUGUAUAACAAAAAUGUUGAAUGUUUAUGAAACCAAGAAAAAAAA
This 5865-nucleotide long non-coding RNA is filed under the name Triticum aestivum (bread wheat). Its description in RNAcentral is "long non-coding RNA (TAES_LNC027902)". The stretch from base 1232 to 1318 matches the Rfam family "MIR1120/MIR1122 microRNA precursor family". The record is from RNAcentral. Lineage: Eukaryota; Viridiplantae; Streptophyta; Magnoliopsida; Poales; Poaceae.